ACGGCUGCAGAGGCACAGGUGCAAAGGUACUAAUGACUAGAUAAUUGCCCAUCUGAGCAUCAAUGCAUUUUAGUUUGGUCAAUUGAAACCAUCACGCUAGAAAAUAAUACGAGUAUCCGUAGUACAAAUGGCUGUUGUUCUCUUUACGCUACGUGAUGUACACUUGACUUCACGAAACAAAACAACAUCACUUUCGAAUGAAACCCGAAGUUCCACCAAUCGUUCUCCUUAAACUACCACCGCCUGGCAAGUGACGGGUUCCAGCCAACAAAUUCUCACGCACCUGACGACUCCUCUUGGAUGACUUGGGCGGUAGGCUGAUCCUACUCGAAUCACUGAUUUCCGUGCUCUCCAGGACACGAAUCGAUGUCCCACCAAUCCUAAUAUCCUUCGGCUCCUUCUCAAUAUUAUCUAGAAACUUAUGUUUUUUUGACUUUGGCAUGGACGACAACACUAUCUCAGAUAUGCGGGUGAUUCUACUAUCGUUUGAUGUAGGUUCUGCGUUCAAGAUCUCAUCCGGGAGCAGCUUGGGAAGCGAUCUGAUGGGUUUGGAAAGAGAUCCCUGGAAUGUCGCGGAGCUUUCGGAGAGAAGUUCGUUUUCCCCUGCGCGGUGAUCUUGUGGAAUGGAAAAGGCGUGUUCAAUUAUUACCGGG
RNAcentral lists this small RNA (653 nucleotides) under Histoplasma capsulatum var. duboisii H88. RNAcentral's name for it is "Histoplasma capsulatum H88 hypothetical RNA". The record is from RNAcentral. Lineage: Eukaryota; Fungi; Ascomycota; Eurotiomycetes; Onygenales; Ajellomycetaceae.